RNAcentral lists this ribosomal RNA (443 nucleotides) under Treponema lecithinolyticum. RNAcentral describes it as "bacterial SSU rRNA". It matches the Rfam family "Bacterial small subunit ribosomal RNA", at positions 29 to 465 of the family's 1533-position model. The record is from RNAcentral. Lineage: Bacteria; Pseudomonadati; Spirochaetota; Spirochaetia; Treponematales; Treponemataceae.
ACGAACGCUGGCGGCGCGUCUUAAACAUGCAAGUCGACGGUAAGGAAGGAGCUUGCUCCUUUCUGAGAGUGGCGGACUGGUGAGUAACACGUGGGUGACAUACCUUUUAGAUGGGGAUAGCUAUUAGAAAUAGUAGGUAAUACCGAAUGUGACCGUAUCUGUUAGAGGGAUACGAGGAAAGGAGCUAAGGCUUCGCUAAAAGAAUGGCCCGCGGCCCAUUAUGCUUGUUGGUGAGGUAACGGCCCACCAAGGCGAUGAUGGGUAUCCGGCCUGAGAGGGUGGACGGACACAUUGGGACUGAGAUACGGCCCAGACUCUACGGGAGGCAGCAGUUAAGAAUAUUCCGCAAUGGACGAAAGUCUGACGGAGCGACGCCGCGUGGAUGAAGAAUGCCGAAAGGUUGUAAAAUCCUUUUAAGCCUGAAGAAUAAGCACAGUAGGGAA